RNAcentral lists this ribosomal RNA (376 nucleotides) under uncultured bacterium. Its description in RNAcentral is "bacterial SSU rRNA". It matches the Rfam family "Bacterial small subunit ribosomal RNA", at positions 523 to 898 of the family's 1533-position model. The record is from RNAcentral.
CUACGGAGGGAGCUAGCGUUGUUCGGAAUUACUGGGCGUAAAGCGCACGUAGGCGGCUUUUUAAGUCAGAGGUGAAAUCCCGGGGCUCAACCCCGGAACUGCCUUUGAAACUGGAAGGCUAGAAUCUUGGAGAGGCGAGUGGAAUUCCGAGUGUAGAGGUGAAAUUCGUAGAUAUUCGGAAGAACACCAGUGGCGAAGGCGACUCGCUGGACAAGUAUUGACGCUGAGGUGCGAAAGCGUGGGGAGCAAACAGGAUUAGAUACUCUGGUAGUCCACGCCGUAAACGAUGAUAACUAGCUGUCCGGGUUCAUGGAACCUGGGUGGCGCAGCUAACGCAUUAAGUUAUCCGCCUGGGGAGUACGGCCGCAAGGUUGAA